Molecule: long non-coding RNA, 579 nt
Organism: Anguilla anguilla (European eel)
Lineage: Eukaryota; Metazoa; Chordata; Actinopteri; Anguilliformes; Anguillidae
Exons: 3
Source: RefSeq, a predicted model, not a curated record
CCGCCCCGCCCCGCCCCUCCGCGUGUGGGGAAACUCUUAAUUGCCUCGUUCAAUGCGGCACUUUUGUUAUGAGGAGAACGUGACGGGAGAUGUUUUUCACCGUUUAUAAACCCGACUGCAGUUUUCGUACGUGCUCGGUUUCCCAGGCAACCUGCCCACUGCAGCCUUUUCCGGUGGCUUUCCCUUCUCGCCUGUUCAUCAUCGUUUUCUCCGGGGAGGUUCCGCGGCCUGAAGCUCCUGUUUACAGCCCGGGGCCAGUGUUCGUAAAGUACUGAUCUUGGAUCAGUUUUGAGCAUUUCGCUGACGAAAGGAAAGGGUUAGGAUGCUGGUAGAAGUCGCGGCUCGCUGGUGGCUCUGUGUUCCUAACAUUAAAAGAGGGAGAGGACACACGCAGCCCCCGGGCCCUUGGCGGCGAGCGGAACACUGUGACUGGGCUGGUCUGGGUCAGGCGCAGUCCCUGUCAGACGGGGUGGACAGAAUCAGCAGCUGUUAAACUGAGGGCCAGGACUCAGCUGACGAGCCGCGGGAAGGUAGUGAGAGGUUGUGACACACGACCUACGCAAUGAACUUACCUUGCAU